This 742-nucleotide ribosomal RNA is filed under the name uncultured Yersinia sp. Its description in RNAcentral is "bacterial SSU rRNA". It matches the Rfam family "Bacterial small subunit ribosomal RNA", at positions 8 to 739 of the family's 1533-position model. The record is from RNAcentral. Lineage: Bacteria; Pseudomonadati; Pseudomonadota; Gammaproteobacteria; Enterobacterales; Yersiniaceae.
AGAGUUUGAUCAUGGCUCAGAUUGAACGCUGGCGGCAGGCCUAACACAUGCAAGUCGAGCGGCAGCGGAAAGUAGCUUGCUACUUUGCCGGCGAGCGGCGGACGGGUGAGUAAUGUCUGGGAAACUGCCUGAUGGAGGGGGAUAACUACUGGAAACGGUAGCUAAUACCGCAUGACCUCGCAAGAGCAAAGUGGGGGACCUUCGGGCCUCACGCCAUCGGAUGUGCCCAGAUGGGAUUAGCUAGUAGGUGGGGUAAUGGCUCACCUAGGCGACGAUCCCUAGCUGGUCUGAGAGGAUGACCAGCCACACUGGAACUGAGGCACGGUCCAGACUCCUACGGGAGGCAGCAGUGGGGAAUAUUGCACAAUGGGCGCAAGCCUGAUGCAGCCAUGCCGCGUGUGUGAAGAAGGCCUUCGGGUUGUAAAGCACUUUCAGCGAGGAGGAAGGGGUUGAGUUUAAUACGCUCAAUCAUUGACGUUACUCGCAGAAGAAGCACCGGCUAACUCCGUGCCAGCAGCCGCGGUAAUACGGAGGGUGCAAGCGUUAAUCGGAAUUACUGGGCGUAAAGCGCACGCAGGCGGUUUGUUAAGUCAGAUGUGAAAUCCCCGCGCUUAACGUGGGAACUGCAUUUGAAACUGGCAAGCUAGAGUCUUGUAGAGGGGGGUAGAAUUCCAGGUGUAGCGGUGAAAUGCGUAGAGAUCUGGAGGAAUACCGGUGGCGAAGGCGGCCCCCUGGACAAAGA